This 500-nucleotide ribosomal RNA is filed under the name uncultured bacterium. Its description in RNAcentral is "partial 16S ribosomal RNA". It matches the Rfam family "Bacterial small subunit ribosomal RNA", at positions 30 to 523 of the family's 1533-position model. The record is from RNAcentral.
AUUGAACGCUGGCGGCAGGCCUAACACAUGCAAGUCGAGCGGAUGACGGGAGCUUGCUCCUUGAUUCAGCGGCGGACGGGUGAGUAAUGCCUAGGAAUCUGCCUGGUAGUGGGGGACAACGUUUCGAAAGGAACGCUAAUACCGCAUACGUCCUACGGGAGAAAGCAGGGGACCUUCGGGCCUUGCGCUAUCAGAUGAGCCUAGGUCGGAUUAGCUAGUUGGUGGGGUAAUGGCUCACCAAGGCGACGAUCCGUAACUGGUCUGAGAGGAUGAUCAGUCACACUGGAACUGGGACACGGUCCAGAAUCCUACGGGAGGCAGCAGUGGGGAAUAUUGGACAAUGGGCGAAAGCCUGAUCCAGCCAUGCCGCGUGUGUGAAGAAGGUCUUCGGAUUGUAAAGCACUUUAAGUUGGGAGGAAGGGCAGUAAGUUAAUACCUUGCUGUUUUGACGUUACCGACAGAAUAAGCACCGGCUAACUCUGUGCCAGCAGCCGCCGUAA